UUGAAAGGGAAACGAUUGAAGUAGUCGUACCCACGAGAAAUCAGCUUUUCUAAGUGCAUUUGUGGGCCUAUGAGAUCUUCAUUGUUUGCAAUAUGUAUAUUUCUUUGGUGUACUUUUUCGUAUGGUGGGUCAAUGUCGGUUUUGAUCGCCAUAAAAUGAUCGGAGGAAUGUAGCUUCGGCUUCGGUUGAAGUGUUAUAGCCUUUGGUAAAUGUGGUGAUUAGGACCGAGGUUUGCAACGAAUACCUUUUAGGCUAUCCGUCUGACCUCUGAAAGUUACUUAGGUGCCGAAAGCUUGCUUACGGUCAUUUAAGUUGACGGUCAAUAGGUUAGAACGUGAUUACAUUCGUUAAGGAUGUUGACGUA
RNAcentral lists this ribosomal RNA (364 nucleotides) under uncultured Glomeromycotina. Its description in RNAcentral is "LSU rRNA". The record is from RNAcentral. Lineage: Eukaryota; Fungi; Glomeromycota.